This is a non-coding RNA of Cyanistes caeruleus (blue tit), 6963 nucleotides long. The record is from RefSeq and is a predicted model, not a curated record. NCBI's taxonomy places the organism in Eukaryota, Metazoa, Chordata, Aves, Passeriformes, Paridae.
GGCAGGCAAGCUCAGAAGUUCCCUUAAUAAGCUAUAUUCCUACCACCUUUUUCCCCCCCUGUCAGAGACGUCUGAGCCCCACACAGGAACCAGGCUCACAUUGUUCAAUAGCCACCGACGUUUCCACAGUAGCUGGGAGGGCCGAAAGCUCUUUCCGCUCUUUGUUGCAAUUUUUUUUUUUAUUUUUUCCUUCCUUCUUCCAACUUUCCAGUUAAAGAAUAUUGCUGGGGCAUUUCUGAAGUAAUUCAGGCUGAGCUUCAGAGAAAAGAACAAGAGACAGGUGUAACUGGGGGGGAAGAAGCGCAGGAUGCUCGUGAAGCUUUUGCUGGUCUGCAGUACGGUAGGACUGGCAAAGCUGGUGGAACAUGCAGACCAUCACGGAUAUCGUGAUGGUUCCGUGCACAGCCUAAAGCCACGAGCUCAUGAGACCUCUGCACACCCCCAGAGAGCUCUGCCACGCCAAGAAGGUUACUGGGAGGCAGAAGGGCUCAGGGAGGAUACUCAAGAUUACCCUUCAAGUGUGAUCUCCUCACAUCAGGAAGAGAGAGGGGAUUUUGAAGCUGAGAGCCCACAGCCCCGAAAUGGGAACUGGUGUUCCUUCACGCAGUCCCGGCUGGUCACAUACAUAGAAGCCUGCAUGAAGGAGAAGUACAUUGUCAACUCCCAACAGCCCUGCCCAAACGGAGCCCCAGACUGCCAGAAGAUCAUGUACAGGACAGCUCUGAAGCCAGUCUACCAAGUGAAACAGAAGGCUUUGAAGUCUUUGCAGUGGAAAUGCUGCCCUGGAUUUACUGGCAAGGACUGUGAACAACGUGAUCCUAAUUUUAUUCUGCUGCCAGGAACUGAAACUGAAGGACGAGAAGAAGAGUUCUCAAACCACAUGUCAACAUCAGUGGAUUCAAGAGAAAUGUUCGAAGUCAUUCAAAAUCAUGAGGCUUUACUGGAUGAUCUUCAAAGUGAUAUUCAUCAAGCAGCCAGCACCUUAGGUGACUUACAGAGACUAUUUGAAAACAACGGUACAAGCAUGGUGUUAGAAGUGAACCAGAGCAAUUCAGCUGUAUUAACAGAUCAUCAAGAAAGGCUUCUGCAGCAAGUUUUGUUUCCUCAUGUGGAGAAUUUUCUUAGGAGACAUUUUAACCCAAUGUGGGCAAGCUUCAACAGAAGCUUACAGAACCUCUCCAACAUAGUAAGAAACCUGUCCCAUGAUGUGGAAGCCAACAGGAAAAGCAUAGAAAGGUUCCAAGAGAGCACUGUGCCCAAGAAGGAAUUCCAGGAGCUGGGAACGAAAUUUGAAUCCAAAGUCCAAGAAAACAUCAUGAAAGUUGAUCAGGCAAAAAGAGAUAUAGAGUACCAAGUGCACAUGCAGCAGGCUAAUAUUCAUUAUAAUCUCAGCAUGAUCAAGGCAGAUACUGACACGAAACUCAAGAAGCUUCAUAAGAUACAGCAUUCCCAUUUCUCAGUUUUGAACAACAGCAUAGCAAACAUGAAACAAGAGCAAAAUCUUCUUGAAAAUAAAUUGGAGGCUUUGAAAAAAAAUUUAACAGAACUCUCUUCUCAUCAUGGUCCCAAAGACGAAAGCAGCCAAUUAACCAUCAAACAAAUGAAUGACAUUCUGUCAGGGCAUGCAAAGCAGCUUAAAGAACUUUACAUGGAGUCAGAUGUGGCCUUUCAGAAUAUUGCAGUUUUAGAGAGGUGGUUUAAGGAGUUAAAGAAAAACAUCUCCAAGUAUAGACCAGAAGAUAUUACAAUAACUUUGGCUGAGAAAUCAGUUAUUAUGGAAGAAAACAAUGCAGCAAUGGAAAGGCAGAUAUCAGACCUCAACUACACUCUCUCAAACCUUCAGGAAAACUAUUCAGAUCUGCUGCGGUACAUGGAGGAAUGCAAUUGUCAGAGAUUAUCUUCUGACACUGAUGUACUGAAGGAAGAUCUCAGGAAUAGCACUUAUUCCCUUGAAGAUAUCCAGCCAAAGGAUAUGAAGCACUUGGAAUUAGUUUUCAGAGAUUUCUUCAAGAGUGAAAUUGAAGAGCUCUCCUCAGCUAUUCCAUCCAUCCAUCUAUCUCUUAACCUCCGUCAAGAAGAGAACAGACAGCUUCAGUCACAGGUUACUGCUUUUUCAGAAGACAUAGGCUUGCUGAAGAAGAAAGAUGAAGAAAUUCAUCGACACAUCAAGUAUCUCAACAGUUCUUUUAGCUCUCUUUUGAAAGAUGCAAUGCGGCACGAAGAAGCACUGGAGGCUUUACUGAGACACGAAUUUCUGGAUGUCUUUUUUGAAGAUGACUUUAGUAGCCUAAUACCAUCAGUAUUUCAGCUUCAAGAAUCUCUCAGAUACUUCUCAGAUAAACUGCAAGAACAAAAUGUGACUUUAGAAUCUCUUGCAAGGAGAUUUCAUCCCUUGCAGAGACGUCACCAGAAUAAUCAUGAUGCUCACAUGCCUCCUAAGCACCCCAAGGAAGAAACACAAACCUCCUCUACUCUACAUGAAGUCAGCAGUCAACGCAGCAUCAUAGAACACAUGGAACCUAACUAUGAGGCUGCCAAAGAUGAUUCCUUGGACAGCUCAGCUUAUAAUGAUAUCAUGACUCUGAAGAAUGAUAUCAAACAUCUGAGCUUGGCAAUCAAGAGGCAUGAAUCCAGAGGUGACGUUACUCUCUGCAGCAACCACACAAUGGCAAAUGCAAUUGAGCCACUCAACGCUUCUGUAGAAACUCUCUCUGCAGAUUUAGAAACCGUCAAACGGAAUCUGGAGGAACAUCUGCUGACUUUUAAAAAGCUAUUUGGAACUAAUGAAGAAUUAGUUGACUCAAAUAUAAGUCUGGAUGUUACAAAGAUUCAGUCAAUGCUGAACAAAAAAGGGAGAAGGCAACAGAAAGGUCAAGACAAGCAAAGAGACAAGAAGAGGCCUGAAAAGCACAGAGGAAAUACACAAAUGAUAAGUGGAAGAAAUACAGGACAGACAGAACUUGUGGAAAAAGACUCAUUGGUGGCAUUCCAUGUAGGAUUCUCAGAAAGAAAGGAUAAAGAAAAAACCGUGAGGUUUAAUGAAACAUACCUCAAUUAUGGAAACAGCUAUUUUUCUGAACACGGCCACUUUAAAGCACCACACAAAGGUGUCUACCUGUUUGUCAUCUCUGUGGAGUUCAGCUCAGGACCAGCACUGGGACAACUCUCCUUCAGCCGUGGGUACAAAAGAACUCUCUCAAGCAGUCAGAGGAAAAGCCCACAUGGAAACACCAUGACCACUUUUGCUAUGGCAGAAAUGGAGAAGGGGGAGACAGUGUGCUUUGAAUUGCUGCACGGCUCUGUAGUGAAACGAAGUCCACCUGGGACAACUAUGGGUGGAUUCCUAAUAUCUAAAACUUGAAUAACGACAUUUAUGUUUUAUUAAUCUCUUUCCAUAGAUGAAAUGGAUGCAUUCACUAUUGCUUCAUCUGUGAUGUAUUCAAUGCUACUGCAUGUGUUUAAACAUAGCACUACCCUAGGUUUGUCUUCAUGCUUCUUUUCUGGAAGUGUUUGGCUUUUGAUUAGUUGCUUAUGAGCAGCAAUGGGAUUUUCCUUCAAGUGAAAAGCUAACAGUUUGGACUCCAGAUGUACCAACACACACAUUCCAAAAUCCUUCCAAUGUGAGAAUUGCACAUAAAUGUUUUGUGGGACUUUCUUCACUUUUAACACAAAUUUCUCCUUUCCCUUGGCAAAAGAAUAUCCUCCCAUGGCAAAUACCCCCAUCAGUGGCAAGGAAAAGAUUUUAGCUAGGACUACACACUCUCAUGUCGAUGGUACCUUAAAACCCAGAAGCCAGGGAAAUUUUACCUUUUAGUUCUCUGUGGACCACAGACUAUCUUGGAAACUUCUGCAACUCACUCCAAUGUUUCAGUCUGUGCACAACAGGAACACUAGAGGAGAUCCAUCAAACCCAGUAAAAUUCACUCUAUUGCCAGUAUCUGCAAGCAAGGAUCUUGUAAAUAGCCCACUCUGUUUCUGGGCCUGUGAUGUAUUUCAGCUACACUGCAAAAAUUUAAAGCAUUGUUAAGAUGAAUUACAUUUACAUUUGGACACUAGGAAAAUGUCAACGAUAUUUUAGAAAUAUUGGUAAAAAUGCAAUUUAUUUUUACAGUUAAUCCUGGAGAUUAUCAUGAAUUCAGCCCAGAGUUCAGCCUCUAGUGAGUAUUUUAAAACCAAGCAAACAAAACUAAAACCAAAAGGCAAGCUCAUUGGUCUGGUGUCACCACUGAAUAGAAAUCUGUAAUUAGAGUAAACAAAGACUACAACUUGUGAAAUGUAGAGGGUUUGUUUUUUUUUUAAAUUUCCAAAACUUCAAGGUGACCACGCCUGGUCAUGUCUUAAACUCUUCUUCUGUCAAAUAAAACUUCCUAAAGACUUUCACUUUAAAGAAGGUCAAUUAUUGUGGUAUUUUUGUCUAUCCUAAUACCUUACAAAGCAAUAUGAAAACAAUUAAAUUUGCCAAAAUGAAAUGCACUUUGAAAUUUCCAGUACUUUUGAUGACAAUAUAAAUUCUUAUUAUGUAAAUUGCACCCUUUUAAGGUAGAAUUUUUUAACAAAUCUAUUCUGCUGUUAAGAAUUUUCUCCCCACCUACCUGUAUUCUAAGCAAUGCUGAACUAUCAUUACUUGUUAAACACCCCAAACACAUCGGUACCAACACACAAUGCACUUAAAGCAACACUUUGACAAGCAGAUAAUACAUAUCUUUUGAAAUAAAGCUACAAAGCAAUUUCAGCUACUGACUUGCUGAGAAGAUUGUUUUCUCUAUCCUGAAAAAUCAAAGAAAACUAGCAACAAAAAUUGCUCCUUAUAUCCUGCUGGCCAAUGCUGAUUUCCACAGAUGCCCAGGUGUCCCUGUUUUUCUAGCACAGAGCCACUGCUCACACUGCUCUGCUACAGGCAGCACCAAGUGCCUGCAAAAUCAGUGUCCCUUUCUGUCCCACUUUUGCUCAAAAUAUCUGAGGGAAGAAAAAGAAGAAUAAAAUUGAAGAGGUAAAAUGAAGAAAACCAUCAAAUUGUAAGAUUAGGUUCUUUCAGUAGAAAGCUACCAAUCCUGGGUGUCUCGGAUGGGUUUUUACCAGUGUUCCUCCAAUUCCUGACUUUUGCGGUGGCAGUGUUCAGUAGAGCCAGGCCAAGUGUGCUGCCUAGGCCAGGGUGGUUCAAGGAACACCUCAUCUUCAGCACACACCAAUUCUGCACCUACCAGCCAAGUUCCACAAAUAAAUACCGCCAGGGAAUACAUAUCUCGCAUAUGGGGGAUAUGAUACGCAUAUAUAUUUCAAAACACUUUAUUUUUAAAGUUUUGACAGAAAGCUUCAACUGGAAUGAAAACCACUUGGAAAUGGACACAGGAAGUAGCACUGCAGUUCAUCCAGCCAGGACUUCUACAGGACACAGCACCACCCGGUGGACGUUUCCCGAAACGAGACCGAGAGAAAAGGCUGCUCAUGAAAACACGGACAGGUGCAAAAACACUUGGCCACAAUUUUCUUUAUGUCCUCCUGCAAGGCUAACAUGAAAUCCAAGUUUUAAAUCCAACCACGACCACUGCAAUCAGUGAAGACAUUCCAUUCUACAAGCAACGUAAUAGCCACAACCAUAGGAAAAAGGUUUACUUUGCCAAGAUACUAAUUUAAGGAGACCAAAUCUUCAGGCAGUCUUAUUUCCUGGUAUUUAUGUGUUAAGAAAUGUUUGAAACUACAUCACUAAUCUUUCCACUGCACUUGCCAGAACUAUACUGCAAGAAUCUAACUUGAUUGUAUAGGGAAAACAAAUCAAGGCUUCUAAUUAUAGUAUACUGGUAACAGUUUUUAUGAUGUUCAGAUAUCAAGCUUUUCUAGCUACUGUAAAAAAUAUGUAUUUAAAUAUAAGAUUAUUCCUGAUUAAAUGCAAAAAGAGAACAGAAACUGAUCUUACUUAUUUCUCCUUGUAAACUAAAGGUGAAAUCGAUGGAGAGUAGAAGCCAAUACAUUUCUGCAAUGAGAAAACAAAUGGUGACACUUUGUUUAUAGUACUCACAGGUGAGAUAUCCCCUUGAAUGGUCUUCAUUUGCUUGAAUCAUAAAAACCAGAGUAAAUUUAGGAUAUAAAGAAGCAUCUGCAUAUUUUUGCAACAAGCAGUAUAUACACGUAUUAAACUCAAAUCUCCUAAUUCGGAUACUAUUACACAAUAAGAACAUUGUAUACAGAGGGAACAAAAAGCAAUUACAAACUUCCCCAACCCUUUAUUUUUUCUCUUUUUACCUGAUAGGCUUGAGGCAAAUUUAUAUGGAUAAAACCAACAUGCAGUGAACUUGCAUAUGUUCAAAUGAAAGUAUUAUUUGAUUUUGACUUGCCCCUGGGCUUUGCUGCAACACACGGAUAAAAAUCAGGAGAAGGAAACAUUGUUUCUAACUGUUGCACCCAAAUUUAAAUUUUGUGUGAGGAAUAAAGAGCACCAAGUAAUUUUCAGUAUCAUUGAACAAUAAAAGCAAUAAUUAACAACUUACUCAGAGGCUGUGAGGGGAAAAAAACGAUAAACGAGGUAUGAAAAAGUAGGGAAUUAUUUAGUUACAGUAUUAUUUCCAAGUCAUUACAUUUUUCAGGCAAAAUCUUAUAGUAACAAAACACAUUACUAAUGUGUACUAAAAUAAGGUUAUUUACUUAAAAAUGAUACAUUGGACAUAAUCUGUGUACAGAACAAGCAAAUCAUGGUAAACUCAAUAAGGCACCUUCUAAAGCAGAUGCUGUACAAAAUACAUUAGUGUGUUACAUUUUUAAAGUAGUAUUCUACACUUCUGGCACAUAACACACACAAGAGUGUGACCAUUUGUCUUGUUCCACUCUUCUUUCAUAUUUUAUUUACAUCUUCUCUAGGUUAACUACAAUGUUAUUUAUUCUUCUUGUAUACAAUAUAGUACAUUUCAUUUUGGGCAUGUCAUGUCAGAGCACAAAUGUCACUACAUGAUGUGGGCUUCUAUAAUUGCA